UAAAAUUUAACUUGCAUGAUUAUAUAGAGUUAUUUUAUGGAUUGUCCAACUAAAAAUCAUAUGACGAUAGCACAAAAACGUUUUUUCUGUUUAUAUUUAAUGAUUUUACAAGUCUUGAGUCAUCAAACAGGUAGAACCAAGCGUUAGGAUUACAAACCAAACGGGACUCAAGUGCAGCAACGUAGAAAGAAGAAGCAAAAUGCCAAAAUGUCUCUGAGGGGAGGGCAUUGUGCAACGCUGCAAAUGUUGCACGCGCCAUAUCUAAGUCAGUAGACAUGCUUUGGCAUGAUGCGAAUUCGAAAAGGCUAUGAUGCAUUGAGUGUCAUGACGACACUUUUGAUAUUUGAAGUAGGAGAUGCUCGUGUAAGAGCGAUGCAGAGCUUUGAUCUCCCUGAUGUUAUUGUCAUCCUUCUUCUGUAUACCUUACUAUUCUUGCUCAAUCAGGACCUGUAUUAAUCUUUCUUCAUCAAUUUGAAGGUUGAUUUCUUGGCUAAGGUACGUUGUUUCAGCAUGCAUGGCUGUUUAGAUCAAGUUUUCCCGUUUUAUGAUUAAUUUUUUAGAUUAACAUUCUUGUUUCUACAUUUUAUCUCCAGAAUGAAUUGAUUAUCGAUCAAUUUAUCAAUGAAUUGUCUGAAAAACAAUCCUAGAUUGAAUGAUUAAUUGCUAUUGAUUCAAACUUCGUUCAUUAGUCCCUAAAUUACUAAGUAGCAAGAGGUUAGAUUAACCACCGAUGAACAUCGUUUUACACAAGCCAAGCGAAAAUCACAUCAAGAUUGUACUCAAGCAUUAUCAAUUAGAAUUUGAUUCUAUAACAUAAUCCCUAAAAGUUUAUAUAUGCAAUUUGUGUUAUCCAGUGGUUACCAUUUGCUCAUCUACUGAUCAUGUUGGAUAAUUAUAUAAGUUAAUUAAGAUAGCCGGUUAGUAUAAUUAUUACUAAUCAGUUUGGUUGAGCAUAGACAAUAUUGCAAUCUAUAUCAGUUGGAUGAUGAAUUAAGCUGAUUAGGAAAAAGUUCGAAAUGAACCCAAACUGUACCUUUAUAAUCAUGAUUUCACAACUCUCUCUUGCUUUCUUUUUGCCUACAAUUUUACCUCUUACAUAAUUUAUUUUCUUGCUUCUGCUAAUUCUUGCGAACACCAAACAAAACCAUCUUUUGGUUACCUCAGAGACUGUAAGCAUUAGAAAAUACAACGGUUUUUGUGGUUCGACCUGUACUACAUAAAUAUAUAUACGAUGCAUAAUUAAGAUAGACACGCAAAUUUAUUUGAUUAUUCAUCAGAGGAUUCAACACCCCCUUGGGUGUGAGUUAUCAUACGACUCUGAAAUAUUCCUCCAUUCUUGAUCAUGAACCACACUUAAACUCUUGAGUCUUUGUUUGCAUGUUUUCAAAUGAAGAAACUGUAAAACAAUAUUCGUAUAUCUUGCAAUGAUGUAAUACAAUAUUUUUCUGUUUUUACAAGUAAAAUCAUCAUUCCAGUUUACCAAAAUUGGUACAUCUUGCAACAAUGUCAGUACGUCGCAAAAUAAAAAGUAGAAAGAGUUCAAUGACAAUGGUAGCAUUUUGGUUUGUGGUCAAAGAAUUCAAGCCACAUGUUAAGUUCUUAGAAAGCUUCAACAGAAUUGGAGGAUCUCAUGUGACUUUACCAAUAAGCUAAGAUCAAUGAAGGUAAAAAAACAGACCAUGGAGAGAGGUUGGCAAUUAUGGCUAGGAGAAGAAAGUGAUGAAGGUAAUGAAUAUCCAAAAAAUUCACUAUAAAAAAAUUAUAAAGAAGUAGCUGCAACUUAAUUUCAAGUAUGGAGGAGACGCUUCAAACUUCAAAGCUGGCUAAAUGUUUCAAAGUUUGAUAUGAAAACUAAUUAUUUUCAUACUCAUCUUUGUUUUCCCAAAAUGAAUUUAGAUGAAGGAUCGGUUCACAGAGUUCUAAAGAAAUUAAAGUGAAGCUUGGUGUUGUUGCACAUGAGGACGCUGAGGGAUGUUAAAAUUUCUAUUAGAAUUUGAUAGUUUGAUGGACAAAAUUUAUUUACAAACAUAGUAAAAUAUUUACAAAUGAAUAACAUCUUGUUUUAUUUUAAAAUAUUUUUAACGAUUUUAUCAUUUCAACAACAAUGACGUCAACUCUUUUCGAUUAAAAACGAAUUUUUCAUCUAUUCAAAUAAAAACGGAACAAAGUAAUUUAUAGUUUUUUAAGUUUAAUUUGGUGGUGUUUUUAUAUCUAAGCUGUGUCAACUUUUUUGGAAAGAAAAUAACAGAAUGAGUAAGAAGAAUUAUCAAUGGUUGGUGGAGUCCAAUUAUAAUUCUAUGAUGAUUUUCUUCAUAAAUAAUGUUCAAAUUUUCAAUUCAUAACAUUUCUUGUUUUAAUUAUUAUUUAUUGACAUUGGACUAUGGCAAUUAUUGAUGUAGACAAAUUGCAACUUGUAUUCAUACAUAAAAAAAAAAAACAAAAACAAAUAGUAAUGUCAACAUCAUUUUCUAUUUCUUAAUCAUCUUACUCUAUUUUAUUUAUAUAUCUUGAAAUUUAUGCAUAAUUUCGAAACCAAAUUCAAAACUUGUAUGCAUAUUAUUGUAAGUCUCUUCCGAGUUUAGGAUUCAAAAUUUGGGUUCUACACAUUUAAUUAUUCUAUUAUUUCUCGUGUGAUCCAGUUAUGUUAUCUUUGUUUGUUUUGUAGAUCUUUUUUAAGAUGAAAUUUGUCUCCACAAACUAGUAGAGGUUUUUACUCGAAGCAUUACAUGUCUAUCAACUUUUGCUUAUUCAUUUCUAAAUUACGCGUCUUAUUCGAAGAGACUCUACUUUGAUACCAUAUUUAUAACAUCCUAUAUAAUUCAAGGAUUUAGGCCAUAAUUCAAAUUUUUAAUUCUUUGCCUUGGAGACCUUUAAUAGAAGAAGCUUAAGCAUAGUUGACUUUAGAGUUCUUAUAGUUUUGAUAUUGAAAAAAGUGAACCAGUACACUUUACAUUGAUGUAUAGUAACUUUUAAUUGUUUAAUGUCUCUUUAACCAUAUUUUUAUAUCUUUAGAAUCACUCUCAUUAAAAUAUGAUCUUAGUUCAUUCAUAUUUUCCUAUUGAACUUUGUUAUACGUCUCUUUGUGUGCAUCAAUCUUCUAUUUCUAAACAUGAAGAUUGCAAACUUGGAUUCAUUUUUAAAAACAAAAGUAGCUGACUUUGUCAUUUGUUUUUUUUUUAAAAAAAAUAUUGAAGAUCUACCUAUAAAUCCAAAAAUAAAUGUUUAUAGGAUCAUAAGAUAUAAAAUAUACUUUUAGCUUGAAUAGAUCAAGUUAGUUUUUUAAAAAUUUAAAUUCUUUUUUAUCAAUUAUACUUUUUUUCUUCAUAAUUUUAACAAUAAGUUUCUUAUUCGUGAAUCAAUACCAAAUACACAUAUUUUUUUUAAAAAAAUAAUUUUCAAAAAAUAAAAAAUUUGCAUAAACAAGCCAUACAUUUUACAUUUUUGAUCUUCUUUGCCCUAUUAUUUCACACAUUUCAAGCAAAACACACUAUAGUAAUUCAUUUCAUGAUGUAAAGGCUUAAUUGUUUCCUUAAUUUUAUAUGACAAACAACAAUAUUUACCUUUUCUACUAAGGUUAUUUCUAUCCAUUAUCUCUAUACUUUUUUACUAUCAAAUGCAAAAUAAAAAGAGAUCAAUGAGGAGAGACUUUUUUUUUUAAUAAAUAAAUAAUUAUCAAAUUCUAAGGAUGAUUUGAUUUGUAGAAAAAAUAAGUGCUUUAAUUACUAUCAAUUAGUAGCUAAGAUUUAACGCGAUAUUAAAAUUUAUCUACAAAGUUUAUUGUCUUGCUUAUUUGCAACCUAAUGUACUUUUUAACUUAUGAUAGAUGUUAAAUCCUCAUCAUCCUAUCAAAAUUGUGGCUUUAUGGAAAAUAAAGGUAUGUUGGAUAUAUACAUACAUAUAUAAUUAAAAUUACCUUUAUGUAAAACAAAAUGUACUAAAAAAAUAUUCAUAUUCUUUUAACAUUGAAUUACAAAAGUUUAGUUUACGAACUUUUGAUUUAAACUUUUUUGUCUACUUAUAUAUGCUCUUGCUCUUGUAAUUUGUUGAGGUAAGACCCAAUGAAGAAUAGAGCCCUAAAUAGAGAAAAGGGGAAAUCAUACCUUCGAGUGUAGAGUCGACCAAAUUCGAAUGAGAAAUUAUCGAAAUGAGUUGAUUGUAGAUAUGUUGAAACCUUGAAGGCUGGCUUAUUUAAACACUAUUAUAUAUAUAUUACAAAACUGACUUUUAGAGAAAUGGCCUUAUUCUUAAAUCACAAGUUGAUAAAAAAAAAAAAGCACAAAUACCUCAUAGUACAGUGGUAACUUUAAGUAAUAUAGUGUACUUAGCUUUGCAUCACACUCUUGAAGAUACUCUGUCACAAGUCAGGUCCAA
Molecule: long non-coding RNA, 4371 nt
Filed under: Cucumis sativus (cucumber)
Lineage: Eukaryota; Viridiplantae; Streptophyta; Magnoliopsida; Cucurbitales; Cucurbitaceae
Description: long non-coding RNA (CSAT_LNC002639)
Source: RNAcentral